CCUACGGGCGGCAGCAGUGGGGAAUAUUGGGCAAUGGGCGCAAGCCUGACCCAGCAACGCCGCGUGAAGGAAGAAGGCUUUCGGGUUGUAAACUUCUGUUCUGAGGGACGAAGAAAGUGACGGUACCUCAGGAAUAAGCCACUGCUAACUACGUGCCAGCCGCCGCGGUAAUACGUAGGUGGCAAGCGUUAUACGGAUUUAUUGGGUGUAAAGGGCGUGUAGGCGGGCAAGCAAGUCAGAUGUGAAAACUCAGGGCUCAACCCUGAGCCUGCAUUUGAAACUGGUUUUCUUGAGUGCUGGAGAGGCAAUCGGAAUUCCGUGUGUAGCGGUGAAAUGCGUAGAGAUACGGAGGAACACCAGUGGCGAAGGCGGAUUGCUGGACAGUAACUGACGCUGAGGCGCGAAAGCGUGGGGAGCAAACAGGAUUAGAUACCCGGGUAGUC
RNAcentral lists this ribosomal RNA (443 nucleotides) under uncultured bacterium. RNAcentral's name for it is "partial 16S ribosomal RNA". It matches the Rfam family "Bacterial small subunit ribosomal RNA", at positions 338 to 795 of the family's 1533-position model. The record is from RNAcentral.